Molecule: long non-coding RNA, 444 nt
Filed under: Homo sapiens (human)
Lineage: Eukaryota; Metazoa; Chordata; Mammalia; Primates; Hominidae
Description: non-protein coding lnc-IKZF2-10:1
Source: RNAcentral
AUAUGGUCAUAACAAAUGGGAUUAAGUUUAUCUCCUUGCUAUAUAUUUCUGUGGAAUCUAUGCCUUCCUACUCUCUGUGAUUAGCACAUGUAAUUUGGGAAUAUAAAAGUGAAAAUGUUCAUCAUGUGUGCAGGAACGGAGAAUAAACUGAGCUCUCUCUCUGACCUGGAACAGCAGUACCGAGCCUUGCGCAAGUACUAUGAAAACUGUGAGGUUGUCAUGGGCAACCUGGAGAUAACCAGCAUUGAGCACAACCGGGACCUCUCCUUCCUGCGGGUAAAGCUGUGGCUUUCUUUCUCUUCUUUGUGAAUGGACAGUGGCGUCAUGAUGCAUACAGGCAGACCUGUGUGCUGAUACCUGGAAGGGGUGCUCUUCUGCCUGGCAGGCACUGUGACUAUAGGCAAAAGAUAAGAGAUAGCGAAACGCACCCAGGAAAAGAACAAG